UACGAAGGGGGCUAGCGUUGUUCGGAAUUACUGGGCGUAAAGGGCGCGUCGGCGGUUUGUUAAGUUGGAUGUGAAAACUCUGGGCUCAACCCAGAGCCUGCAUCCAAUACUGACAGGCUAGAGUUCUGGAGGGGAUAGCGGAAUUCCUGGUGUAGCGGUGAAAUGCGUAGAUAUCAGGAGGAACACCGGUGGCGAAGGCGGCUAUCUGGACAGAGUCUGACGCUGAGGCGCGAAAGCUAGGGGAGCAAACAGG
Molecule: ribosomal RNA, 253 nt
Filed under: uncultured bacterium
Lineage: Bacteria
Description: partial 16S ribosomal RNA
Rfam family: Bacterial small subunit ribosomal RNA
Source: RNAcentral